GGGAAAAGCUCAAGUUUGGAAGCUUCGUGGCAUAGCUACGACGCGUUGUAAACUGAAGUUUUUUGGGUGAUUGGGCGACCGGAUAAAUAAGUCCUUUGGAAAGGGGCAACAUAGAGGGUGACAUUCCCGUCUUUGGUCCGAGUCAGUGCAGUCGCUACCCAGGAAACGACGAGUCAGGUUGUUUGGGAAUGCAGCCUAAAAUGGGAGGUAAAUCUCUCCUAAAGCUAAAUACUGGCGUAAGACCGAUAGCGAACAAGUACCGUGAGGGAAAGAUGAAAAGGACUUUGAAAAGAGGGUCAAAUAGUACGUGAAAUUGUUGAAAGGGAACCGUAUGAAAGUAGACUGGCUUGGUGAUGAUCAAUGUGUGUUUCGGCACGCAUGCACUCAUUGCCUUUGCCAGCCAGCGGCAGUUUUUGCUAAAGGAAGAAAAUCAGGGGAAUGUGGCUUCGAUUUCGGUUGAAGUGUUAUAGCUCCUGGUAAAAUACUUUGGCAGAGACUGAGGCUAGCAGUGGGUUUUUGGGAACUUUGCGCGCUUGUCGUCCAAUGGUCAAGUUUUCUUCGGAUGCUUGGUUAUUGGGUGGCAACUCGUGUGAUGCUUCACCCUCCCGCUUAGGUCGCUGGCGUAAUGCUUUUAUAUGA
Molecule: ribosomal RNA, 639 nt
Filed under: Gongronella sp.
Lineage: Eukaryota; Fungi; Mucoromycota; Mucoromycetes; Mucorales; Cunninghamellaceae
Description: partial large subunit ribosomal RNA
Rfam family: Eukaryotic large subunit ribosomal RNA
Source: RNAcentral